GAUGAACGCUGGCGGCGUGCCUAAUACAUGCAAGUCGAGCGAACAGACGAGGAGCUUGCUCCUCUGACGUUAGCGGCGGACGGGUGAGUAACACGUGGAUAACCUACCUAUAAGACUGGGAUAACUUCGGGAAACCGGAGCUAAUACCGGAUAAUAUAUUGAACCGCAUGGUUCAAUAGUGAAAGACGGGUUUGCUGUCACUUAUAGAUGGAUCCGCGCCGCAUUAGCUAGUUGGUAAGGUAACGGCUUACCAAGGCAACGAUGCGUAGCCGACCUGAGAGGGUGAUCGGCCACACUGGAACUGAGACACGGUCCAGACUCCUACGGGAGGCAGCAGUAGGGAAUCGUCCGCAAUGGGCGAAAGCCUGACGGAGCAACGCCGCGUGAGUGAUGAAGGUCUUCGGAUCGUAAAACUCUGUUAUUAGGGAAGAACAAAUGUGUAAGUAACUAUGCACGUCUUGACGGUACCUAAUCAGAAAGCCACGGCUAACUACGUG
Molecule: ribosomal RNA, 497 nt
Filed under: uncultured bacterium
Lineage: Bacteria
Description: partial 16S ribosomal RNA
Rfam family: Bacterial small subunit ribosomal RNA
Source: RNAcentral